GUGGCUCCAAGAGGAUGACAUUUUGAUAGUGGACAGGGGCUUCAGAGACUCAGCAGGUGUAUUAGCUGAUCUUGGUAUUCAGAUGGAGAUGCCGUCCUUUUUACAAAAAGGACAUAAGCAACACAAAACUGAAGAUGCCAAUAGUUCUCGGUUGAUUACAAAGAUAAGAUGGGUAGUGGAAUCCGUAAAUGCCAGAAUUAAGACAUGGCGCUACUUGGCAAGACAGCUCCCGAAUUCUCAAAUUCCAUAUGUUGGGGAAUAUGUAUGAAUCAUUAGUGCUCUCUGCAACAAAUACAGGCCACCUCUUAGCAGUGGAGAUGAAGAGAAUGACUUGCAGACAGCUGCAAAGAUGCGUCACCUCUCUACACAGACUAAUCUGCUGCAGACUGAGGUAGAAUCAAAUAAUUUGCAAAAGAAACGAUAUGUCUGGAGAAAGAUCGAUGACGAGAACAUUGAUAUCCCCGACUUUCCCCAAUAUACAGAAGAGGAAAUCCGGGAACUAACUCUUGGAGUUUACCAAGUUAAGUUGGCGAAACAUUACACCCAGGAACACAUGAGCCAGGAAGGGUGUGAAC
Magallana angulata is the source of this 575-nucleotide long non-coding RNA. RefSeq lists it as uncharacterized. The record is from RefSeq and is a predicted model, not a curated record. NCBI's taxonomy places the organism in Eukaryota, Metazoa, Mollusca, Bivalvia, Ostreida, Ostreidae. The transcript is spliced from 3 exons.